Molecule: non-coding RNA, 151 nt
Filed under: human gut metagenome
Source: RNAcentral
GGUGUCGAAAGACUUAAUAGGGAAGUCCGGUGAAAAACCGGUGCGGUCCCGCCGCUGUAACAGGGAGUAAGGCUACAUGAAUGUCACUGGGAGAAAUCUUGGGAAGGCGUAGCUAAGCAAUGAUCUGGAGCCAGAAGAACUGCCUAUUUAA